GUAUAUAUAGUAUAAUAAAUACGUCAGGUUUAGGACCUGGAGAUGCGUGUAUACU
This 55-nucleotide transfer RNA is filed under the name Phocanema krabbei. RNAcentral's name for it is "Pseudoterranova krabbei tRNA-Leu". Lineage: Eukaryota; Metazoa; Nematoda; Chromadorea; Rhabditida; Anisakidae. The record is from RNAcentral.